Molecule: non-coding RNA, 231 nt
Organism: Sturnus vulgaris (Common starling)
Lineage: Eukaryota; Metazoa; Chordata; Aves; Passeriformes; Sturnidae
Source: RefSeq, a predicted model, not a curated record
CAGCUGUGACACUUGGAGCCAAGCAACCAAUGUCACCAGAGCAGCUGCAGCACAUCAUCUGCUUCCAGUGCAAGCAGCCAGGACACUUUGCCAGAGACUGUCCACACAACCAGAAACAGAAGAAGACCAACAAACAAAAAAACUAGCUUUACAGCGUGUACCCGCCAUUAACACAAUAGCACGCUCGGCUAUAAAUACGGCGGGGUCCACACUCACAAAAGACUCUCUCUU